Long non-coding RNA from Pangasianodon hypophthalmus (striped catfish), 379 nucleotides. RefSeq lists it as uncharacterized. The transcript is spliced from 3 exons. Lineage: Eukaryota; Metazoa; Chordata; Actinopteri; Siluriformes; Pangasiidae. The record is from RefSeq and is a predicted model, not a curated record.
CUUUUCUUUCAGCACUUAAACAUGAUUAUGAAUAUGAAAUAGAAAUUGCACGUGUCCUUAAUCCUGAAAUUUCUGAGUUAGUGAUGCAAGGGCAUUUUUGCACUCAGUCAUCUUGGUUCAACACUCAGGAUUUUGAUCAUUGAACAGAUGGCUGUUUCACCACACUAGCAAACGAACGAGUGAAGAUUUGUCCAUUCAAGACGCCACUUUCACCAGAUGAAAGAUCAAGAAGAAGUAAAGAGUGCACAGACUGGAGGUCCGAGGCAGAUUCAGGCUCAGAUUCAGACAGAGGCCUGGAUGUUGAGGCCAGUGAUGCAGUUAUCACAAUUUCACCACCUGUCUGAAUAUAAGCACUGACUGUGCAGCUACAAACUGAAAG